RNAcentral lists this ribosomal RNA (114 nucleotides) under Klebsiella variicola. Lineage: Bacteria; Pseudomonadati; Pseudomonadota; Gammaproteobacteria; Enterobacterales; Enterobacteriaceae. The record is from RNAcentral.
UGGCGGCGAUAGCGCGGUGGUCCCACCUGACCCAUGCCGAACUCAGAAGUGAAACGCCGUAGCGCCGAUGGUAGUGUGGGGUCUCCCCAUGUGAGAGUAGGGAACUGCCAGGCA